UGGCCUAAAUUGCCAAAAUUGAAAUGAUUGGAUUAAAUUGCAAUUUUGCAAAAAGGUCUGUAUUUUUUUUUUUUUGAUCUGGCCUUCCAUAUAUUAUUUUUUUUUCCUUUUUAUUUUCUUUAUGUUGUUAAUUUGAUUCUAGAGGUGAACAAUGACUAUUAUUUUAUGUACUAGAUGGGCAUUGGGCAUUAUUUACUACUUCAGUUUUUCCUAACUUCAUAAUUUAUCUGUCAUCAAGUAAUGUCAGCAUUGUAUCAGAAUGCCAUGACCCAAUCCUUGCAAUAUCUGUUAUUUUUCCACUUUGACUAUAACGCACUCACACACAUACUCUGUAGAUGAUCUAGUGAAAACCAGCUUGCCAGUUAUGCCUUUUCAGUUCUCAUGGUCUUGGAAGCAAGACUUCUCAUUGUAUUAUUUCUAUAGAUGCAAUUAUACAUGCUUAAGGGUGCAUUUGCAGUAAUCAUUUGAAUGGCAAGCAAACUGAAUCUAGCAGCAUUGGCUAGUUGCACAUGCAUUUUUAGCAAUCUGAACCCAAGUUGUAAUUGUAUUAUAACUACAUUGAGCAUGUUUAUGCCUAGGUGGAAAAGAUGCCAUUGCUGACUGCCUGAGAGUGUUCCUGAAAUUAGAAACUUUAAGAAGAUCAUAUAUUAGUCCAAAGAAAUAUGAUGAGACUGGAUAGAUUUCACUGCUUAGUUACGUGACUGCCUUUUGAGGUUCUGCCCUUUUGAAAGGAGGAAUCCUUAUUGUCUGUCUUUUUAAGAUUCUGACACGCUGAUUGUAGAAUGAUAUAAAAGGAAAUUCUUUUUCCUGUUUGGCUGUUCACCCUUUUUCUUUCUCUCACUAUUUUUCUUUAAUAAAUAUUUUUAUGAUCUGUUUUCUGCUGUUUAGUUUUUCCUUUCUUCUCUCUUUGCCCUUUUCUUUAGCCCUGAAAUACAUUAUGGGAUGUUUCUCAUCUGUUGUACAAUGUUCCUUAGGAUUGAAUGGCUGGAAUUAUUU
Molecule: unclassified non-coding RNA, 996 nt
Filed under: Hevea brasiliensis (rubber tree)
Lineage: Eukaryota; Viridiplantae; Streptophyta; Magnoliopsida; Malpighiales; Euphorbiaceae
Source: RNAcentral